CUCUACUAUCUUCAUUUGUUAUAUAUAGAUAAAUAAUUAUGCUCUGAUAUCAUGGUUUGCAGACUCCAGAAUGGACAAUAAAACUUAUUGGAUAAACUUGCAAGUUUUAGUCUAACGCUUAAGUUUGAGGCCUGCAUCGAUCUUGAGGAAGAAACUGAAAUCAACCAAGUCUUGGGGAGUCAUGCAACAGGAAAGUUGCACACGUGGAAGGACUUUCAGAGUGUCAAAAGGG
Non-coding RNA from Jatropha curcas, 232 nucleotides. NCBI's taxonomy places the organism in Eukaryota, Viridiplantae, Streptophyta, Magnoliopsida, Malpighiales, Euphorbiaceae. The record is from RefSeq and is a predicted model, not a curated record.